This 253-nucleotide ribosomal RNA is filed under the name uncultured bacterium. RNAcentral's name for it is "partial 16S ribosomal RNA". It matches the Rfam family "Bacterial small subunit ribosomal RNA", at positions 524 to 776 of the family's 1533-position model. The record is from RNAcentral.
UAAGGGGGGUACUAGCGUUGUUCGGAAUUACUGGGCGUAAAGCGCACGUAGGCGGAUUUGUAAGUAAGGGGUGAAAUCCCGGGGCUCAACCUCGGAACUGCCUUUGAUACUGCAAAUCUCGAGGCCGGAAGAGGUGAGUGGAAUUCCUAGUGUAGAGGUGAAAUUCGUAGAUAUUAGGAAGAACACCAGUGGCGAAGGCGGCUCACUGGUCCGGUACUGACGCUGAGGUGAGAAAGCGUGGGGAGCAAACAGG